CCUACGGGCGGCAGCAGUGGGGAAUAUUGGACAAUGGGGGGAACCCUGAUCCAGCGACGCCGCGUGAGUGAAGAAGUAUUUCGGUAUGUAAAGCUCUAUCAGCAGGGAAGAAAGAAAUGACGGUACCUGACUAAGAAGCCCCGGCUAACUACGUGCCAGCAGCCGCGGUAAUACGUAGGGGGCAAGCGUUAUCCGGAUUUACUGGGUGUAAAGGGAGCGUAGACGGCAGUGCAAGUCUGGAGUGAAAGGCGGGGGGUCAACCCCCGGACUGCUCUGGAAACUGUACGGCUGGAGUGCAGGAGAGGUAAGUGGAAUUCCUGGUGUAGCGGUGAAAUGCGUAGAUAUUAGGAAGAACACCAGUGGCGAAGGCAGCUUACUGGACUGUAACUGACGUUGAGGCUCGAAAGCGUGGGGAGCAAACAGGAUUAGAUACCCUGGUAGUC
Molecule: ribosomal RNA, 443 nt
Filed under: uncultured bacterium
Lineage: Bacteria
Description: partial 16S ribosomal RNA
Rfam family: Bacterial small subunit ribosomal RNA
Source: RNAcentral